GAAGGCAUAGCUCAAUGGUAGAGCUCAUACUUAGCAUGCAUGAGGUCCAGGGUUCAAUCCUCAGUACCUCCA
Molecule: transfer RNA, 72 nt
Organism: Camelus ferus (Wild Bactrian camel)
Lineage: Eukaryota; Metazoa; Chordata; Mammalia; Artiodactyla; Camelidae
Rfam family: tRNA
About the family: Transfer RNA (tRNA) molecules are approximately 80 nucleotides in length. Their secondary structure includes four short double-helical elements and three loops (D, anti-codon, and T loops).
Source: Rfam